Molecule: RNA transcript, 837 nt
Organism: Rhodamnia argentea
Lineage: Eukaryota; Viridiplantae; Streptophyta; Magnoliopsida; Myrtales; Myrtaceae
Gene name: nucleolar protein 58
Exons: 2
Source: RefSeq, a predicted model, not a curated record
UCCUCUCCCUGGGCGAAAAAUCUUGCUUUUCUUUGUUUAAAUCUUUGAGCAUUCGAUGCGUAAACUUGGCCGAAGCAACCGAAGCCGGGGGACCUAGGUGGGAAUAGUGAAAGAGAAGGGGACCUGCAACAAAAUUCAACUAAGCUAGGAAAAAGCCUGACUGAACCUUCUUCUGAUGCAUGUCUCUGUUUUGCUGGCCAUUUCAACUCUCAUCAAUUUGCAUGGUUUUUGUCCUUCUACUAGGUUAGCAACGAUCCCCUGCAUUGCCAUAACAUAUAUUUUUGGAGAGCGACAUGGGUGGAACAGAAGAAGCCAAGAGCGAGAAGAAGGACAAGUGCCCGAAGGAGGACAAGCACAAGGAUGCUGAACAUGGAAAAGAGGAGAAAAAGGAGAAAAAGAAGGGCAAGGAGUGCAAGAAGGAAAAGAACCCUGAAGACAAGAAUGACCCGCAAAAGCUGAGGCAGAAGCUCGAGAAGGUCGAUGCCAAGAUGCAGGCUCUGGCAGCGAAACGAGAAGAGAUUCUGAAGUCGAUUCAGGAAGCCGAGCAGAAGGCCAAGGCUGCCGGUGGGGAAGCCAUGCCGGCCGCAAUCUCUUAACACGCAUCUCAAGGCCAGAUGGAGACGCCGAUGCAUAAGGUGUACAGAACUUGAUUGAGAGGAAGAACAAAAUACCUGCAUAACUGGUUUAGGAACGGCUUUCAGACUCAUUGCUCCUUACAGCGGCAAAGUAAGAGCUCUCAGUUUCUUACCAAGUUUGAUCUUUUCCAUUCUCACUAAUUUCGACAUCAAUGCCUAGCAUUGGCGAGAAUAGAAGUAUCCCAUUAUAUUUCCACUUACA